GGCCAAGAUUUUUCGACGCAAAAGCGAAAGCUAUUUGUUGGGCUAAGGCGGAUGUUGUCCCUGGCCGACAUCCCGAUCGCUGGCGUAAGGAUGCCGCUGGUAAUGUCGUCUGUAAGCGCUUCUGCAACUGCCAGGGCUGCCUUUGCUUUGAAUACGAUCACAUUGUCCCCUACUCCAAAGGCGGCGAAUCCACGGCGGAUAAUUGCCAGAUUCUUCAGACUAGAGUAAACAGAUUCAAAUCGGACAAAAACGAUGUUGAUACGUCUGAGUUAAAAGGCUAUUCAUGUGACGUCAAGUUUACUGAUAAGGAGCUUGACGUA
Molecule: unclassified non-coding RNA, 320 nt
Filed under: Hevea brasiliensis (rubber tree)
Lineage: Eukaryota; Viridiplantae; Streptophyta; Magnoliopsida; Malpighiales; Euphorbiaceae
Source: RNAcentral